GCCGCAAGUUGUUCUACCGCUGUCCCGACCUGUCGGGAGGGAGGAAAGUCCGGGCAACUAAGAGCACCGCACCCUUUGAAAGGAGGGGAUUCCGCUAACACGGAAGCCAGACAGUGCCACAGAAAACAAACUACCCCAACCCGACUUGUCGGGAUCAGGGAAAAGGUGAAAAGGUGGGGUAAGAGCCCACCGUGUUUGAUGGUAACAUCGGCAGCAUGGCAAACCUUGCGGGUUGUAAGAUCAAAUAAGUUCCGAUUUUGGGUGCUUGAACCAACCUUCGACUUGUCGGAGUAUCGGAAUGGGUAGAUCGCUUAGAUAAAUGGUAGAAGUUCACCGACUUGUCGGUGAAAACAGAACCUGGCUUACAGACUUGCGCUUUUU
This 381-nucleotide RNase P RNA is filed under the name Cytophagia bacterium. RNAcentral's name for it is "RNase P RNA component class A". It matches the Rfam family "Bacterial RNase P class A". Rfam says of the family: Ribonuclease P (RNase P) is a ubiquitous endoribonuclease, found in archaea, bacteria and eukarya as well as chloroplasts and mitochondria. Its best characterised activity is the generation of mature 5'-ends of tRNAs by cleaving the 5'-leader elements of precursor-tRNAs. Lineage: Bacteria; Pseudomonadati; Bacteroidota; Cytophagia. The record is from RNAcentral.